This 541-nucleotide long non-coding RNA is filed under the name Mytilus galloprovincialis (Mediterranean mussel). Lineage: Eukaryota; Metazoa; Mollusca; Bivalvia; Mytilida; Mytilidae. The record is from RNAcentral.
UCUUCUGUAGAGAGGCCAGGCCUAUAUAAUAACAAGAAAUUAUGGUGUAUAAUUGACCUAUUUGUAAAGAUCUUGUCAAGACGAGCAUUUUGAGCCCUUGUUUUUAAAAAUCCAAUGUACGGUUACAAAGUUAUGAUCGAUUCAAAGUUGGUUUUCAUCCCCCCUUUUUUCUCCAAGAUGGCCGCCAAUAAAAUCGAGUAGAUUUCAAUUUUAAUAGGUAUAUUUUGUGGCAAGUAGUUAGUUCUUUGCCUUUAUACACCAUUUUCUUUCAGAAUGCACUCCAAUCUUAACAGAAAUUCAUUUAUACUCAUUUACAUAUGUUUUUAGCAGAUAUUUUUCAGCAUCCAACAGCCUAGAUUCCUCCCUUCUGACAUUGCACAAAAUGCCCGAACAGCCAUGUUGAGACAUAUUUUUCUGUGAAAUUGCAAAUUAAUGUAUAGGUUUACACUAUACUAACUGUAAAACCUUGCCUGUUUUGUUGAAUUAUGAAAUCUUUGUAUAAUAAAAUGGAAAAAAACAAAGAGUUCAUGGUCUCUUAACA